This 3608-nucleotide long non-coding RNA is filed under the name Lupinus angustifolius (narrow-leaved blue lupine). Its description in RNAcentral is "long non-coding RNA (LANG_LNC002381)". Lineage: Eukaryota; Viridiplantae; Streptophyta; Magnoliopsida; Fabales; Fabaceae. The record is from RNAcentral.
AUUCGAUGGCAUUUGGCUUGACAUGAAUGAAGCAUCUAAUUUCAUCACCUCUGGUCCCCUUCAAAAUUCAAGUCUCGAUGACCCUCCCUACAAAAUAAAAAAUUCGCAAAUUAAUAACAACGCAAUCCCAGCAACAUCUUUGCAUUAUGGUAAUGUCACUGAGUAUAAUGUCCACAAUUUGUAUGGAUUCCUACAAACCAAAGUAACUCACAAGGCUCUAACUAAUAUAACUGGUAAAAGGCCAUUCAUUCUCAGUAGAUCAACUUUUGUAAGCUCUGGUAAAUAUGCAGCACACUGGACAGGAGAUAAUGCUGCUUCAUGGAAUGAUUUGGCAUACUCUAUACCAUCAAUAUUAAAUUCUGGAAUCUUUGGAAUUCCAAUGGUUGGGGCAGAUAUAUGUGGUUUCUUAAGAGAUACUAAUGAAGAACUUUGCAGGCGCUGGAUCCAGGUAGAAUUGACCGUCAAACACAGUAUUAUAGGAUAAUCUUUUCACUCUCUGUAUGAUACUAAUUAUUCACAUAUGCUUGCUUAAGAAAGACUAUAGUAGUUACAAAACAAAACUACAGAACAACCAGAUGUUACUAAGUAUUCACAAUGCCACAUCUACUUGUCUAAAACUAUAGUUACUUAGUAUUCACAAUUUGACAUACUUGCCUAAAACUAUAGAAGUUACCAAAAUUACAUGUGGAAACUGCCAUGAUUUUUUGGUUAGUGGAAAAUAUGAAGGAAUCAUAUGUGAAAUGAAAUGCACAUUAUAACAACUAUAUAUACAUGUCUAACUUUUUUCUUUUCCUCUUUCUAGUUGGGAGCUUUUUACCCCUUUUCAAGAGAUCAUUCUGAUAAAAAUUCAAGGAGGCAAGAGCUUUACCUUUGGGACUCAGUUGCUGCAUCAGCUAAGAAAGUACUUGCCCUCCGAUAUCGACUGCUCCCUUAUUUCUAUACACUAAAUUACGAAGCACAUGUUAAAGGAACACCUAUUGCACGACCCCUUUUCUUUUCGUUCCCCGAGGAUGUCGCAACAUAUGGAAUAAAUUCACAGUUUCUACUAGGCAAAGGGGUUCUAGUGUCACCUGUACUAAAAUCCGGGGAAACCAAAGUCGAAGCAUACUUUCCUGCAGGAAACUGGUUUGAACUUUUCAAUCUCUCGAAAUCUGUGACUGUGAAAUCAGGCAAGAAAGUUACUCUUGAUGCACCAUCUGACCACAUAAAUGUGCAUGUCGGGGAAGGUAAUAUUUUGGCCUUGCAAGGAGAAGCAAAAACAACCGAAGCCGCGAGGAAGACUGCAUUUGAACUCUUGGUUGUUGCUAGUAGCAAUGGAACUAGUUCUGGACAAGUCUUCUUAGAUGAUGGAGAGACACUUGACUUUGCAGGAGGGAAUGAAGAUUGGACAUUGGUAAAAUUUAAUGCCACAUUAGUGAACAAUAGUAUUUCUGUUGCAUCUAAUGUCACUAAUGGAAAAUAUUCUCUAAACCAAAAGUGGACCAUAAACAAGGUAACUAUCUUAGGGAUACCUAAGGGUAAGAUAUCAACUAAUAAGAAGAACGGGACACUGACAAACUCAAAAGGGAAGAGUGAUGUGAAGGCACAGUUCAAUAGCUCCUCUGAGUUUGUUACUGUAGAAGUUACAGAAUUGUCACAGCUUAUUGGAGAGGAAUUUAAGCUGGAAAUUGAAACCAAGUAGAGAAAGUAAGUUCUCACUAUAGCUGCAAUGCAAAAAUAAGUAGUACCUUUUUUUUCCCAAUGUUCAUGAAGUGUCAUGUUUUGUAUAAGAACUAAGUACCACAGAAUAAUGUCAAAAACUCAGCAUGGCUAUGAAGCUCAAUUAUGAAAAUAUCUGUAUGUCAAUAUGAAUGGCAAGUACUACCUAUUACUGGAGGUAGCUUAUAUUUGAUGCACUAAAUGUAGCAGUUACUCUUAUAAUUUUUUACACUCUACCUAACAACUUUACACGUUUAAAACAAUAAUUUGGAUGUUUAUUAUUAACCAUGCAUAACUAAGAAAUAUUCUUUAUCUCCUCAGUGACAUCAAUUCUUGUAGUUUUUUUUAACUUGACAGACUAAUAUGCAUGAUACAGCACCCUAAAUGACUUCAAUCAAUAUAGAAAUCCCAACUUACAUGCAGGUUUGACAUUAUUUUAUUAUUUGUUACUUGAAAUGCUAGAAUUAAUUAUUUACUCAUAAACCAGCUAAAAUACUGGAAACAUUUUUUUUAACAUUUAUAUUCAAGCACGAAACCUUAGGAGAAAUUGAACUCCUUAAUCCUUAUCACUCAUCAAAAACAGACUUGAUUACCACUCCUUUAAAUUAAAUACUUUCUCUUGCAAACCACAAGUUAAUAAAACAUUUUGCAUAAAGAUGCAAACCAUGAUUCAUGAAUAGCAACAUCAGAUUAUAUUUACAACUCAAAUAAUCCUGAUUGAUAAAAAAAUUAAACCUUAAAGAAGUUAACACAACAAUAUAAUUGAUAUUGAUAUAUUCAUAAUGUUGGGUAAUAGAAGAGUGUAAUAUCUAUGUAAUAUAAGUGUAAAAAUUUAUAUACAGUUACUAUAUUAUUUAACAUUUAUUUCUAUUAAAUAUAAAUGAUAGACGUGCAUGCCCAAUUUUGUCCGGCCAGAAUAAUUUUUCAAAAAUAAAAAUAAACAUGUGUCAAAAAUGCUUAAUGAGUAAUUGUUGGCUCAAUAAUCAUGAGAUAUUAUCUUAUUUUCCUUUUUAAUUUGUAAACAAUUUUUUAAAUGGGUAUUCAAUGACUAAAUGAGCACUUACUAUCAUAAUUCAUAAUUAUAGACAGAUUCCAUUUCUGGAAAAAUAAAAUACAUGUUAAAUGUCACAUAAUUUUCGUUUUCUUAAUUAAAUAAAAAUAAAAAGUGUAUUAAAAGUAUCUUCAAAUGGUUGUUUUUUGCUGUAUUGGUAGCUAAUGCAAUAAUUUGGAAUUUUGUAAUGACACUAUGAACUUUACACCACCUUCACCCUUUCCACUUUACCAUAAAAUAUUUGCACUAAGGCAAUAAAAGUGGAUUCACCACUGUGACUUGCAUCCAAAGAAGACUAGAACAGCACACAUUAGCAAGUUAUUCAUUCAUCAUAUAUACUGAAACAAUCUUAAGCAAAAAUGAUUUUUCAUUCACUGUUUAUACAUGUUAUAAUGCUACCUACAUAAACACCUUUCGCUGAUAAAUCAAAAUCAGUAUAUUAAAAACAUUCAAUUAACUUGAAAAUCAAAAGACAUUACUUCACUUUGGCGUUAUACACCAAUAUCACCGCAUUUAGGGGUAACUGUUCGCCAACGCUGCAACGGUGGUUGCUGCCGUAACCACACACCCAUCCUGGUGGCUGGACUCCUAUCGUCCUUGCGUCGACACCAUGGAAGCCACACACCACUCGGCGGCUGCCUCCGCCAGUUCUGGCUAUGGUUGCCGCCGCAUGAAAUUUGUGGUCUAGGGAUUUCAAUUUUCAAUCCCUUUGGUUCUUUCUUUUGUUGCUGGAGAGGGGUAACGUGCUGUUGUCCUUUUCUUUUUCUUCACAAGUAUCCUUUCGAGGCAAAAUCCUAUUCGAGGAGGGAAUUCACACACAGGUAAGGCUAACUCUCCCGACAAAGAUUUUUCAUUUAUA